AAGCAUCCUGCAAGUAAAUGUCUAGAACACCCAGUGAAUAGAUUUGCCACCCAAUUCCCUCCAAGAUCCUGGUUGGGAUGAUAUUAAACAUCGGGGUUCUCAGAACACAUCUGAAGAAAACCUCGGGCCUUCUCUAAAGAUCAUGCCGAAGUCUCCGGAUCGAUUAAACCCUAAUCAAUGCCACAGACCCUGAAGAGCCUACAAUGGUUACUCACCCCAGAAUCUCCUUUGGGGGCCAGCGAUCCAGGAAAACAUCAUGAUUUUGAAGAUGUUUUACAGAC
Molecule: long non-coding RNA, 281 nt
Filed under: Elaeis guineensis (African oil palm)
Lineage: Eukaryota; Viridiplantae; Streptophyta; Magnoliopsida; Arecales; Arecaceae
Description: long non-coding RNA (EGUI_LNC033319)
Source: RNAcentral